Molecule: long non-coding RNA, 4824 nt
Filed under: Rattus norvegicus (Norway rat)
Lineage: Eukaryota; Metazoa; Chordata; Mammalia; Rodentia; Muridae
Description: long non-coding RNA NONRATT033510
Source: RNAcentral
AGGAACAAGUCUCCUCGAAUGCACGGCUGAAAUUGAAAGUGGCAGGAGCCCUGUGCAGAAAAGUGCCACACUACCUCAAGCCAUGCGACACAAGACCCUAGGACCCUGCUACUUCUGUUUGCAAGGCUCUACAGGGGCAGCUCAGCCUCUCCUCAGUGCUGGGAUUAUAAUUGUGAAUCUACACCUAGCUCUUUCUCACUUGCUGCUCAAGCCACACCAUGCAAAACACCCCUGCCCUGAUUUCUCACUUCCUCAAAUAUACGCUGUUAUAUCCAGAGGCAGUGAAGAGAGAGACCUGCUUCAUUGGAGACAGAUGUUGAAAACACAGCUGCCCCUACAUCAAGACGGACUGCAGACUUCACCCUGACAAGGGAGACAGGAUCUCUGCAAGAACAAUAUAGACUUUUAACCACUAAGCCAUUUUAUUUUAGCUCAUAGGAUUUGUGUGUGUGUGUGUGUGUGUGUGUGUGUAGGGGUAUUUGUUUGUUUGUUUCUUUUUUUUAAGAUUUAUUUAUUUAUUAUUUUAUGUAUGUGAGUACACUGUCCUCAGACACACCAGAAGAGGGCAUUGAAUCCCAUUACAGAUGGUUGUGAGCCACCAUGUGGUUGCUGGGAAUUGAACUCAGGACCUCUGGAAGAGCAGUCAGUGCUCUUAACCUCUGAGCCAUCUCUCCAGCCCCCUGUUUGUUUGUUUCUUGAAACAAAGUCUCUCUGUGUAGCCCUGGCUGGCCUGAACUCAAGACCAGACUGGCUUUGAACUGUCAGAGAUCCAUCUGCCUUUGCCUCCCAAGUGCUGGGACCACCUCCACCACUCAGCAGCUUUUUUUCUUAAACACCAUCUUAUGCAGCCAAGUCUUGAACCUCACUAGUAGCCAAGGACGAAUCUUGAGCUUCUGAUCCUCGUGGCUUAACCUCUCUAGUGCUGAGGCCAUAGGUACUCACACCACACCUGGUUUUCUGCUGUGCAGGGGGAUAGACCCUAGAACUUUGUGAUUCUAGAAAAGCCCUUCACAAGUGCUGGAAUUAGACAUGAGUUACUAACCACACUCUGGGAUUACCUCAGAAUUUUAGCAUGUGAAUUAUUUUGUCUGUGACACACUUGCUAAAGAUCAUUUUCCUUGUCUCCUCUCACCCAGUUCCCUCUCUGUAGAAGCAGACCUAUCAGAUUGAGAGCAAGGGUCACACAUCUAGUCCAUACCUCUCUUGCUGUCUUGUUCUCCCCUGCCAUGUGGCUCCCGAUGGCUUAAUACUCAUUAUGUAGCCUAGCUGGCCUUGAACUUUCUGCAGUCCUGCCUUAGCCUGUCAAACACUCAUAAUCCUUUUUAAAACAAAUAUGAUCUGGGACCAGAGUGAUGACUUAGCUAAGAGCAUUGGCUGUUCUUCCAGGCUUGGUCGUGGCAUGCACAGAGUCACAGCUGAAAGUCACAGCUGUCCUCUGUGAUCCUGAGACCCUCUUCUGAUCUCUGUUGGCACCAGGUGUGCAUGUGGCACAGACAGAUGUGCAGGUGUGGUGUGUGCACAAGCGAGUAUGGAGGAAGGAGUUGACAUCUGAUGUCUCCCUCCAUCACUUUUCACUUCAUUUUUUCCCACUCCAACCCCAGAUUUUACAUGGUUACAGAGAUCCAAAUUCAGAUUUUCAUGCUUGCACAGCAGGCAAUGACUCCCCAGAAUAACCACUGUGGGCACUAUUCCCCGGAGAGGUUGGGAUCCAUGUCCACUCUCCUGAGACACACAGCUGACAAUAAUCCAACCUCAUGGAACAGUGAGUUUUGUUGGGUGGUUACUUAGAGGAGCAGAAAUGAUUUAAAGACAGCUGCAUCAUCAAAGGAGAUCCCAGCAAGGGUGACAGCUCACAAAGCUGGGGACUGCACAGUCUGCAGGCAGCUCAACAGGUUGGAAGGUGACUUUCCCAUGGCUCAGCUGGUGUAACAUUCUUCCAGACUGCUUGGUCAGAGUCUCUUCCAAGCAGCUUGGCUUCUCUGAAAGUCUUCUAGGCAGCUUGGUUGGUCUCUACAUCUUUAGUUGACUCAGCUUCCUUGAGUCUUUGGGCAGCCUCAGUUUGCCUGAGAGUAACUCCUAACAGUCUUUACCGCUAUAUUGUUGGGAAGGGAGAGACCUAGUGGAUUUAAUCAAUUUCAGGGACUUCCUAAAGCUAUUUUGGCUUGUUUACUUCCUGUCUUUUUUUUUCUUUUUUUCGGAGCUGGGGACCGAACCCAGGGCCUUGCGCUUGCUAGGCAAGCGCUCUACCACUGAGCUAAAUCCCCAAGCCCUAAAAUAUUUUAAAAAAGAUUUAUUUAUUUAUUUAUUUUAUGUCUAUAAGUAGACUGUCACUGUCUUCAGACACACCAGAAGAGGGCAUCUGAUCCUGAGAGAUAGAGUUUUAAAUUAGCCCAAAACUCAACAACAGGACCUGUCUCUGGAAGACAGAUUGUUAAAAAUGCAAGAGAACUACUUUGCUUAUCACCCAGUGUGAGUGACUGUUCUUUGCUCUGCCCCUGUGAUGUUUAUUUAAGCCCCUACUUGUGCUUUCCAGCCAUUGCAUCCUGCAGAGAGCACUCCAGGAACCAGGGGGCCAUAAAACCUUCUGGGCCCCCUAAUCUCCUGGAGCCAUAAAACAAUCCUGUGACUUGGGUGCCUUCCCCUUUGACACCCCCAAUCCCCUGGGCUCACAGCCUCUGCCUUUAAAUACUCUUUCUCCCAGCCUCUCGGGCCGGGCCGAUGCCUCUGUCUCCUGCGUGAGAUAUGUGUCGGCCCGGAGAUCUCUAUAAUAGGUCUCCAUAAUAAACCUCGCCUUUGCUUAUUACAUCCAAAAUGGUCUUUCUGUGUCUGGGGUCUGCGAUUUCCCAAGACUUGAGUAAGGGUCUCUCUGCGUGGGAUCUUUCAGUUGAUUCAGCUCCUCAUGAGGCUUUGAUAAGAUUCUGAAUUUGAGGCCAUUCUGGACAAACCAGUCAAACUCUACCUUAAGGAAAAGACAGAAAACAUUGAAAGUCAAUCAUGUGUAUGUUUCUAAGUGUAUGCCCAUGUAUGCAGGUGCCCACAAAGGCCAGAGGAAGGGCUGGAUCCUCUGGAGCUGGAUACAAGCAGAGUUGUAAACUACUGGGUGUGGGUGCUGGGAACUGAGCACGGUCCUCUGGAAAAGCCACAAGCACUCUUAUCAGGGAGCCGUCAUUCCGUUCUGUAGGGUGGAUCUUCAUGUCUGUGGACUAGGGAGAAGCAGAAGCCACAAAGAAUUUCAAACAGUUGUGUCAGCCUCAGGCAAAGGCAAGGACAAGAGACAGCAAGAAAGUCCUGGGUAAGGAUGGAAAGAAAAUGAUCUGUGUGAGCAAAGGACAUGCUUAGCCUUGGAAGCAUCUUUCUGCUCUGGCUUCCAGUGGAGCCAAGCUAAAGGUAAGACUUAGAAAAUGGCCAUGAAGAUCCACGGGCUCAGCAAGAUCUGGUGGCACACAACUUUAAUCCCAGCACUCAGGAGACAGUGGCAAGUGGGUCUCUGAGUUCAAGACCAGCCUGGUCUACAGAGUGAGUUCUAGGACAGCCAGAACUAUACAGAGAUACCCUGUCUCAAAAAAUCAAUGAGUAUAGUUGAACUUUCCAAGGACUUUGGUCCUUCUGGCUCUGACUGGUCUCAAUGUCUCUUGGUCCUAAGGCUUUCUCUCUUUCCAACUAAGUAUUCUUCCUUCUUUCGGUUCUUUUCUCCCCCAAAAGGGCUAUCUCAUCUCAUCGAAAGACUGUGUACUCUUUUGACCGUUGCCCUCAGACCUUCGGGGGAGUUAUGAAAUGUAUUACAUAAGCAUGAUUGGUUAAAAUCAUUGACCGCUGCUUUAGUUGCCCCUCUUAUAAGCCUUGGGAAGUCAAGGGUAGAGCAGAGAAUUCUCUCCUCUCAUUUCAUGGUUGGUUCUCCUGGCAACAAGCACCAGUCAUCCUAGCACGCCUCACACCACAAAUUAUAAGGAUUUCAAAACAGACUGUGAAGCGGGAUGAAAGCCAAAUACCUACCUACUUUAUACUGAGUCCCUCUCACUCACAUGACAUCACUACGCUAGUAAUUUUUCUCUAGUCUACUCUUUAGCUAGCUUACGCUUGUAACCCAGAGGUUGGGGGAUGGCAACAGGAUGAUCAGGAAUUUGAAGCCAGCCUUGACAAACAAAGCUUGAGUAAACCCUCUCUCAAAAAAAAAGUCCACUACCCUUUAGGUUAUAUUAAUAUAGCCACUCCCUCUUCUUCAAAGUCUUCAUAAGCUUCCCCUUAAAAACUAGUUAUGGGGGACUGGAGGGAUGGCUCAGUGGUAAAGAGCACGGGUGCUCUUCCAGAGGACCUGGGUUCCUUUGUACCCAAAUGGUGGCUCACAGCCAUCUGCAACUCUGGUUCCAGGGGAUCUGAUACCUUCUAGUUUUGGUGUACACAGCUUGCACAUGGCACACACACAUACAUGGAACACCCAUACAUAUAAUCUGUUGGGAGCCAUCUCAGAUAGGCUAAAGCUAACAGCUGGCCUUCCUGGAGGUGGCCCACCUUUUCACAUGAACUAAGAGCUCUGAGAGGCAAGGCCUGAGAGCCUUCAUCUCAGGAUUGCUUCUUGCAGGUGAAACGCCUUUCCAGUCAUUAUUGAAUUAAUAUAAUAACCCCUGGGCAUUAACCCACCUAUUGAGCCACUCAGAUCCUGCAGAUCAACAUGAUGAUGAACUUUCAUGAAUUAAUGCUGUUUAAAUGAAUCUGAUUUUGGGGUUGGGGAUUUAGCUCAGUGGUAGAGGGCUUGCCUAGCAAGCUUCAAGGCCCCGGGUUAGGUCCCCAGCUCUGGAAAAAAAAAAAAAUCUGAAUUUAUAUAGA